CGAAUGCUGACAUAAGUAACGAUAAAGCGGGUGAAAAGCCCGCUCGCCGGAAGACCAAGGGUUCCUGUCCAACGUUAAUCGGGGCAGGGUGAGUCGACCCCUAAGGCGAGGCCGAAAGGCGUAGUCGAUGGGAAACAGGUUAAUAUUCCUGUACUUGGUGUUACUGCGAAGGGGGGACGGAGAAGGCUAUGUUGGCCGGGCGACGGUUGUCCCGGUUUAAGCGUGUAGGCUGGUUUUCCAGGCAAAUCCGGAAAAUCAAGGCUGAGGCGUGAUGACGAGGCACUACGGUGCUGAAGCAACAAAUGCCCUGCUUCCAGGAAAAGCCUCUAAGCAUCAGGUAACAUCAAAUCGUACCCCAAACCGACACAGGUGGUCAGGUAGAGAAUACCAAGGCGCUUGAGAGAACUCGGGUGAAGGAACUAGGCAAAAUGGUGCCGUAACUUCGGGAGAAGGCACGCUGAUAUGUAGGUGAAGCGACUUGCUCGUGGAGCUGAAAUCAGUCGAAGAUACCAGCUGGCUGCAACUGUUUAUUAAAAACACAGCACUGUGCAAACACGAAAGUGGACGUAUACGGUGUGACGCCUGCCCGGUGCCGGAAGGUUAAUUGAUGGGGUUAGCGCAAGCGAAGCUCUUGAUCGAAGCCCCGGUAAACGGCGGCCGUAACUAUAACGGUCCUAAGGUAGCGAAAUUCCUUGUCGGGUAAGUUCCGACCUGCACGAAUGGCGUAAUGAUGGCCAGGCUGUCUCCACCCGAGACUCAGUGAAAUUGAACUCGCUGUGAAGAUGCAGUGUACCCGCGGCAAGACGGAAAGACCCCGUGAACCUUUACUAUAGCUUGACACUGAACAUUGAGCCUUGAUGUGUAGGAUAGGUGGGAGGCUUUGAAGUGUGGACGCCAGUCUGCAUGGAGCCGACCUUGAAAUACCACCCUUUAAUGUUUGAUGUUCUAACGUGGACCCGUAAUCCGGGUUGCGGACAGUGUCUGGUGGGUAGUUUGACUGGGGCGGUCUCCUCCUAAAGAGUAACGGAGGAGCACGAAGGUUGGCUAAUCCUGGUCGGACAUCAGGAGGUUAGUGCAAUGGCAUAAGCCAGCUUGACUGCGAGCGUGACGGCGCGAGCAGGUGCGAAAGCAGGUCAUAGUGAUCCGGUGGUUCUGAAUGGAAGGGCCAUCGCUCAACGGAUAAAAGGUACUCCGGGGAUAACAGGCUGAUACCGCCCAAGAGUUCAUAUCGACGGCGGUGUUUGGCACCUCGAUGUCGGCUCAUCACAUCCUGGGGCUGAAGUAGGUCCCAAGGGUAUGGCUGUUCGCCAUUUAAAGUGGUACGCGAGCUGGGUUUAGAACGUCGUGAGACAGUUCGGUCCCUAUCUGCCGUGGGCGCUGGAGAACUGAGGGGGGCUGCUCCUAGUACGAGAGGACCGGAGUGGACGCAUCACUGGUGUUCGGGUUGUCAUGCCAAUGGCACUGCCCGGUAGCUAAAUGCGGAAGAGAUAAGUGCUGAAAGCAUCUAAGCACGAAACUUGCCCCGAGAUGAGUUCUCCCUGACUCCUUGAGAGUCCUGAAGGAACGUUGAAGACGACGACGUUGAUAGGCCGGGUGUGUAAGCGCAGCGAUGCGUUGAGCUAACCGGUACUAAUGAACCGUGAGG
Molecule: ribosomal RNA, 1645 nt
Filed under: Escherichia coli
Lineage: Bacteria; Pseudomonadati; Pseudomonadota; Gammaproteobacteria; Enterobacterales; Enterobacteriaceae
Description: partial 23S ribosomal RNA
Rfam family: Bacterial large subunit ribosomal RNA
Source: RNAcentral